UGGGGAAUUUUGGACAAUGGGCGAAAGCCUGAUCCAGCAAUGCCGCGUGUGUGAAGAAGGCCUUCGGGUUGUAAAGCACUUUUGUCCGGAAAGAAAUCCUCUGGGUUAAUACCUCGGGGGGAUGACGGUACCGGAAGAAUAAGCACCGGCUAACUACGUGCCAGCAGCCGCGGUAAUACGUAGGGUGCAAGCGUUAAUCGGAAUUACUGGGCGUAAAGCGUGCGCAGGCGGUUUGCUAAGACCGAUGUGAAAUCCCCGGGCUCAACCUGGGAACUGCAUUGGUGACUGGCAGGCUAGAGUAUGGCAGAGGGGGGUAGAAUUCCACGUGUAGCAGUGAAAUGCGUAGAGAUGUGGAGGAAUACCGAUGGCGAAGGCAGCCCCCUGGGCCAAUACUGACGCUCAUGCACGAAAGCGUGGGGAGCAAACAGGAUUAGAUACCCUGGUAGUCCACGCCCUAAACGAUGUCAACUAGUUGUUGGGGAUUCAUUUCCUUAGUAACGUAGCUAACGCGUGAAGUUGAUCGCCUGGGGAGUACGGUCG
This 540-nucleotide ribosomal RNA is filed under the name uncultured bacterium. RNAcentral describes it as "partial 16S ribosomal RNA". It matches the Rfam family "Bacterial small subunit ribosomal RNA", at positions 355 to 888 of the family's 1533-position model. The record is from RNAcentral.